AGGUUGCUGGGGCUGCGCUGCGCCCGCCCUCCGCCCGGGCCCCGGCGCCCGAGGCAGCUGCGCGCUCCCUCCCGGAGCGCUGGAGACAGAUAUGCAAGAUGGCAGAGGAGGGGGAAAGCCAAUAGAAAAGGGAUAUUGCACCUACUUGUGGCCAGUUUCCUUGCCCUGCCUUUGGAUCUCAUGCUGUGCCCAGUCCUGCAGCCGCUGGAGAUUUUCUAUACCAUCCACGGAGAAAGCGAGAAGUGGGGCUUUUGAGACCUUUUCCGUGCUAAAGAACGAGAAGCACAGGACUCUUGACAAAUGAUCCAGGAGAAAGUGAGAAUCAUCCUGAACUUCAGGAAAUCUGCUGCUGCCGCUCCUACUGCUGCUGGAGCUAUUGCGGCUUGUGCUUUCAGAGUUGAAAGCAGAAUUAAGUAGCUGUUUUCUUCCUUGAUGUUAGGAUUUGCCAAUGAAGUGGGCACACAGAAACGGGGAAAUCCUAAAGGGGCCAGCUGUGUUCAAGAGCUGUGUAAUUCUGGAAGCAUGUGGCUGAAGGAUACAGGUCCCUGGAGAACCAAGUACAGGUCCCAAGAGAGACAGAUGUGAAAUGUUGAAAUGUGGGGGAAAGAAAGGAAGCAAAGGAAAGAAUUACGCAGAGCAGGAGUAAAACAACUUCCCAAAGAGAAGGUUCUGGUGGUGUACUUAAGCACAACAGAGGUGGGUGCAAAAGCAUCAGGCACUUCAACAUUCUGAGUGUGGAUACCCAGAGGUCUGUGAGUGUGAGUUCACAGGCUCCUCUCAGUUUAGAUGGAGUCGUGCCUCCCCUCUGACCAGUAAGUGUUCUCCCAGGAAAAGAGAAGUGGGGGAUUGAGAACCUUUAGAAAGGGAAUAAAAUCUCUAGGGAGAGAAACGCCUCGCUGGCCGGCAGGACGAUCAGAGAAGCAGUUUAAGGACUCCCUGGGGACCCCCACUUAGACCAAAGGACAGAGAGGCUGCACUGGAGCAUCAGACCCCUCCCAACCAUCAAGAACCUCCAGAGCCCAGUCCCCCGGGAGAGAAGGAAGCCCCCAUGGGGAGGAGGAGCUCCCAGGACAGUAGGAGGCUCAGCCUGGGACUUUUCACCUUCUCAGCCUGGGGAUGCUUUAAAAAAAUAAUAAAAAGAGUUCCUAUCCUC
Long non-coding RNA from Canis lupus familiaris (dog), 1153 nucleotides. RefSeq lists it as uncharacterized. Lineage: Eukaryota; Metazoa; Chordata; Mammalia; Carnivora; Canidae. The record is from RefSeq and is a predicted model, not a curated record. The transcript has 5 exons.